GUAGUUAGCCGGGGCUUCCUCCUUGGCUACCGUCACUUUCUUCGUCACCAAGGACAGAGGUUUACAAUCCGAAGACCUUCUUCCCUCACGCGGCGUUGCUGGGUCAGGCUUGCGCCCAUUGCCCAAUAUUCCCCACUGCUGCCUCCCGUAGGAGUCUGGACCGUGUCUCAGUUCCAGUGUGGCCGAUCAGCCUCUCAGCUCGGCUACCCAUCGUUGGCUAGGUGGGCCGUUACCCCGCCUACUACCUAAUGGGACGCGAACCCCUCCUUCUGCGGAUUGCUCCUUUGACCCCUGAGCCAUGCGACUCUGUGGUCUUAUGCGGUAUUAGCACUUGUUUCCAGGUGUUAUCCCCCUCAAAAGGGCAGGUUGUUCACGCGUUACUCACCCGUUCGCCACUAGCUAUAAAUCCGAAAACCUAUAGCCCGUUCGACUUGCAUGUGUUAGGCACGCCGCCAGCGUUCGUCCUGAGCCAUGAUCAAACUCUGA
Molecule: ribosomal RNA, 486 nt
Filed under: uncultured bacterium
Lineage: Bacteria
Description: partial 16S ribosomal RNA
Source: RNAcentral